This 690-nucleotide long non-coding RNA is filed under the name Salmo salar (Atlantic salmon). RNAcentral describes it as "lncRNA (ENSSSAG00000117616.1)". Lineage: Eukaryota; Metazoa; Chordata; Actinopteri; Salmoniformes; Salmonidae. The record is from RNAcentral.
UAUGGCAAAGUCUACAAAGAUUAGUCCACUCUGUUCGUAACAGAUUCUAGUUUUGGAAAAAUAAAACUAUGUAGAUCAAAUGUUUCAUCGAUGAGAACAUUUGCAGAAUGUCGUCCAAAACCCAUCUCCCUCCAUCUUCUCCCACUGCCGGCCACUGGGUUUCCUCUCAUUAUCAGAUUUGGUAGUAAGUGGAAACGCCAACUGGAUGCUUCACAUUUAUACAUCCGGUGAAAUAUCUGGCUCAUUGUUUUAUCUGUGUCGUCACAUUCGUGAAACUAGAUAGCUAUAAACAAAGAUGGUGGAUUGUUAAAAAUAAUAAUACUACCUGAAAGAUAAGUAACAUCUUUCAUUUGUGGUACUACUCGCACAGCAGACAAAAUGACAAAAUUGGAAUUGUUGAAUAUAUUUCUUACGAAGAGAUUAACCGCGGCUGCCGAGGAGAUAUUUGGGGCUGUGAAGGGUACUAUAGUUGAGUACCAGACAGAAAUCGUUCGCUCCAAGGAGGAGAACAAUCGUCUCCGAAAGCUGCUGGAUAUCGCUGUUCAGCGCGUUCUACUUCAAACAGUUGAAUGUGCUGACAACAAAAUCACACAAAAAUAAUCAAUGGAAAUCCAAUUUAUCAACCCAUGGAGGUCUGGAUUUGGAGUCACACUCAAAAUUAAAGUGGAAAACCACACUACAGGCUGAUCC